UUGAGUUUAAAACCCCCCUCCAAUAAAACACUACAGUCACAGUAGCCAAUGAGGUUUUAGAGGUUAAAACUCUUCCCUCCAAUAAAAUUGAAAGCCCUUUCAUUUCAAUGGAAAAUGUGCAAGUUUCACUUUAAACAAACCAAUCCUCUAUUUGUUUACAUUUUCAUUUUUGUUAAACAUCUUAUUUACAUCCUUUCAUAACAUAAUAUACAGUGACCUAAAAAUAAAAAGCGGUCGUCUGCAUUUUGUUCAACUAAACUAUUGGAUUAUUUCCCUUUACUUACAAUUGCGUCCCAUUUGCAGAGCAGGAAAUAAACAAACUUUGUAAAAGUACAUUCCGAAAACACUCUACCAUAGCCUAUAUCAUAACAGUGUAUCGGCAUCUACAUAUAAACAAGGAUUAAUGCUUUUCAUUUCAGAGUAUGCUAAUAUUUUAAAGUUACCAUGAAGUCACUGUUAGUGUGUAGUCUCCUGUUAGUGAGCGUUGGUCUGUUGAUGACACCUACCUAUGGAGAUUUUAUUGGCAGGUGUUAUGAAACCUGGAGUCGAUGUUCAACGUGGAGCCGGCGGUAUACAGGUCGGGUCUGGCUCACAUGUGAAGGCAAGUGCCGUAUGUUGGGCAAGAAUGGGGGCAGCUGUCGCCUAACUCGAUCGAAAUGUCCACUUUCUAGGUAUGCCUACCAGUGCCAGUGUUACUAGACAGUUGGUCACGUGAUCUGUAUUAUUUUUUUAUGAUAUAUUUUUUCAAGGGCGUUUUUCUAAAGCUUCCACAUAAAGGACAGUAGACCAUCAGCCGCUUGCUAAUUUAUUUGUAAUGAUCAAAGUGUAUGUAGAUUAUUGCAGACUGUAAAGUAUUUACAAUACUAAAUCUGUGCAUGUUUAUAUGAUAUGUUGAAAUGUCAAAACAAAAAUCAUUUUCAUUAAACCAUUAUUUUAUAUUUAUUUUAUUUUAUCUAUUAUAUAUACGAAAUGUCCCUAUAUAUCUAUAUAUGUUCAAAUGUGUAUGUACAUAUAUAUUGUACUAGACAUAUAUUACCAGCGGCCCGCGGGUUUUUUUUUGGCAUAUAACUGUCGAUGAGUCACUUUGUAAACAAUUAAACGAAAUGAAAUAAUAAUGUUAUAAGUAAAGCGAAUGCGUAAAAAUAGUUUGAGUGAAUGGUGCUUUCAAAAUAGCUAAUAAACUUAAAUUCAUUUUUUUUCAAAUAAAAUCAUUUGCUUGUAGGCCUACAUAUAUUUGAUUAAAAUUAAAUGAAUAGACUUAAUUGUGUAUGUUCAUGUGUUACAUAAUAAAGUAGAUCUUGAGGUAGACAUAGAUCUAAAUCUAGAGUAAUCUAGAGUUACAUAUUGGCUUGGAUAGAAUUCAUUUUUCACGUGGGCAUGCUUGACCUUGUUAAUUAGAUGUACGCGAAUGAACUAUUAGAAUAUAUCUUAACACGGCUUCGCAGCUUUAGCGAACGAAUGCAUGAAAAAAGCUUUAGAAAAAACAAAUUUGAGUGUUAAUUUGAUUAAAAUAUGAAAUGAAUGGACUAUAAUUAGUAUGUUCAUGUGUUAAAGUAUAAAACUAUCUUUGCGAAGAUAAGUUAUAAUAUCUUACAGUUGAAUUAGAGUUUUAGACCUAGGAAUAGAAAAAAUUGUAACAUUACGGUAUUGUCUAAUGAAAGAAUGCUCAUCAGGAAUUCUACAUUCGCUGAUAUAAGGAACGAAUUUAUGUAAAAAAUGCUCUUGAAACACAAAUUUAAAGGUUAAUUUUAUUAAAAAAUGAAAUUAAGGACUUUAUUUUGCAUUUUCAUGUGUCAAAGUAAAAAAAAAAUCUGCACAAAGUGUAGUUAUUAAAAUUAGAUCUAGAUCUAGAUUUUUUCUAUCUUUUGUCAUGUAAACAUGACCUAGAUGGAUGAAGUUAUAAUGCUUUCAUAGAGUUUGUCUAGAUCUAAAUCCUUUCGUUCUUUUGUCAUGUCAACAUUGUAAACAAAGCCUAGAUCCAUAUAAUACUAUAGCUUUAAUAGAGUCGGUCAACUUUUUUUUUGAGGGUCUUAAGUUUAAGGGCUACAAUACAUACACUACUGUCUAAGUUGGUACCCAAUUAACAUUUCUGCCAAGUUUUAUCAAGAUCGGUCACACGAUUUUGAUUUCUAUGCGGGGACAUACAUACAUACAUGCAUACAUGCAUACAUACAUACAUACACCUUACUUUCUACUUUAUAUAUUAGAUAAGUAUAGUUUCCUCUAUAUCAAUUAAUAUAUCGUACUGUUUCAUUUAUUGUGUAAUAUUUGUAGUGGUAUUAUAUACAAGUAUUAGAUAAGUAUCUAAAAAAGACUUGGUAUGCGAUAGUUACAGAAGUGUAGAUGUUAUUUAUCAUUUCAGAACACUAUUAGGCUAUAGUCACGGAAGUGUAGAUGUUAUUUAUCAUUUCAGAACACUAUUAGGCUAUAGUCACGGAAGUGUAGAUGUUAUUUUUCAUUUCAGAACACUAUUAGGCUAUAGUCACGGAAGUGUAGAUGUUAUUUUUCAUUUCAGAACACUAUUAGGCUAUAGUCACGGAAGUGUAGAUGUUAUUUUUCAUUUCAGAACAUGAACAUUCACGCUUUUCAUUAGCAAUAUCCAAUACAAUGAAAUUAUUUUUCGUUUCUAAAGUUCUUUUCGAAAUGUAUUUUUGUGUAAAUCUCUUUGCUUUUUUUCUCUAUGUUGCAUUUACUUAAUGCCUACCUUUAUACGGAGUGUAUGUAAUGUCUGCAAAAUAACUAAAGAAGGAAGAAAGACAGCUAUAUUCAAACAU
Molecule: long non-coding RNA, 2774 nt
Organism: Biomphalaria glabrata
Lineage: Eukaryota; Metazoa; Mollusca; Gastropoda; Planorbidae
Exons: 2
Source: RefSeq, a predicted model, not a curated record